AACAUUGUUUUCUUACCAGUUUGCCAGUUUCACUUGUCACUUGACUAUUGUAGACGUCGAAAGAAUGGGAUAUAAAAAUUCACCACGUCAAACUUUGUAAGAAUUUCUUGAAAUUCUUGAGUUCAUAUAUGGAUCUGGAAAAAAAGUGAGGACGUGCCAUUCCCAGCACGUGGUCGAUCCUGGUCUAUGAUUACCAAAUCAUGUCGAAAUAUACCUCGCUUACCACAUGUGCAGGACGACUCCAUGAAGAAGGAAAUGAAUAUUUUUUCUUUUUGUGGACUGAUCUUCAUCCACCAGAUGUGGGAAAGUUGCAUAAAAAAAACUAUCUUUGUAGAUUAAAAAUGAUGAGAGCCAUCCCAUUCUUCAAGUUGUACCUCAGUAUGUGAGGGGUUAUUAAAAUCUACCUUCAGCACUACCUGCGCAGGAAGACUCCAUAGGAAAGGUUGUUCACAUACGGUAUUGCAGUCGAAGUUCUAACUACCAGCCUACUUGCGGUUUUUUUAAUUUAAUGGUACGUCAAUAAGCUGCUGUGGAGUGUUUUUUGUUAUGGCACACUCCUUUUGUCAAUAUUUACCCCGUAUCGAUGUUUCCUGUGUUAAAUGGCGUUAUUAUUUUUUUAAUAAUUAUUUAUUAUUUAAUAAAAGAAAAUAACUGUAACAAAUACAACUACUAGCAUGUUUCCCGA
Daphnia pulicaria is the source of this 685-nucleotide long non-coding RNA. RefSeq lists it as uncharacterized. The record is from RefSeq and is a predicted model, not a curated record. The transcript has 5 exons. NCBI's taxonomy places the organism in Eukaryota, Metazoa, Arthropoda, Branchiopoda, Diplostraca, Daphniidae.